CCAAUUCUCCGACGACACCACCACUUGCGCCUCCCGAUUCUCCAACCACCACCACAACUUGCGCCUCCCGAUUCUCCAACCACCACCAUCGCCACCUGGCCUCCCGGCUCUCUGAAGACCACCACCACCAGCGCCUCCCGGCUCUCCGACGACCACCACCAACGGUAUUUGUGUGAGUCUCUUUGUAAGGAUCUGAUGUAUUUAAUAUUAUAUUUUGAGUAUUAUAUAUAUUGCCUUUCAAUGGAACAGUAGAAUAGGGUUAAUUGGGGAGGAAGAAAUAGGAAAGAAAGAGUAAAGAAGAAGAAAGAGUUGGUGAAAUUCAGAUAAAAGUGGCUAGUUGCCUUCAUUAAUGAUUUUCAUGCUAUUUAUAGAAACCUGCCAAAUAUGACCUAAAGGGAUAUUCCCCUUUACCCAAUACAAAACUAACACCUGUCCUUAUUCUAAUUGCAGGUAUUUAAAUAAAAUUGGUUGCCAGCACAUUUGCUGGAAUCUUCAACAGCCCAUCCGGUGUUGGGCUCAAGCUUUAGGCCCACUUCAGCAGUUGAGUAUGGUUUGGGCUUAGAAUAAUGCGGCCCACUCGAAUCUCCCAUUUUGUGCAUUUCUGCAGCCAAAACGCCGUCGUCUUCAAUUCCUUUAUUGAAAGCCCUAAUUUUACGAUUGCCCCUUUUCCUCUUCGAUCCCCAAUUCAAUUUGCCUGAGUACAUGACAUUACCCCCGGGAUUACCAAAUCCUUGUCCCCAAGGAUCAAAAGAAGGGAACUUGGCCAUCAAUUCAUCGAAAUUCUCCCAUGUAGCGUGCGUAGGGUCAGAACCCGACCAUUGCACGAGGACUUGGGUGCACGGUAGCUGAUUGAGGGUCGUGGUGCGCUGGUCCAGGAUUUUGAAAAACUUCAAAAGUUCCAGUAUCAGUAGAGAAAGGGAGGUUGGGGCUGGGAAUGUGCUUGGUGCUGAGCUUCUUUUUCAGUAGCGAGACAUGGAAUACAUCGUGAACCUUGGAGUUUGGUGGAAGGAGUAGCCGGUAGGCGACGGGUCCCACGCGUUCCACAAUAGGAUAAGGUCCAAAAUACCGGUUCGAAAGCUUCAAAUUCCGGCGAAGGGCGACCGAGUUCUGUCUAAAUGGUUGCAAUUUGAGGUAAACUUCAUCCCCCACCUCAAACUGUCGUUCAACCCUUUUUGUGUCCGCGUAGUGUUUCAUACGUGUCUGAGCUAGUAACAAAUUAUCACGAAUGAGGUCUAACACAAGAGUUCUGUCACGAAUUAAGUCUCCCACUGUAGAGUUGGUAGUGUCUAGAUAAGAACCCAUAGAGAAAUAGGGUGGUUUGUACCCAUACAAGGCUUGAAAUGGGGACAUCUUCAAGCUAGUAUGGUGAUUGGUGUUGUACCAGAACUCAGCAAGGGUGAGCCAUUUCAUCCAUUGAUGAGGGUGCUGACUGGCAAAACACCUUAAAUACCCCUCCAAGCACUGAUUAACACGCUCAGUUUGGCCAUCACUCUGAGGGUGGUAGGCAGUGGACAUAGACAGUUUAGUACCAAGAAGUUUAAAUAGCUCAGUCCAAAACUGGCUAGUAAAAACCCUAUCUCUAUCAGUGACAAUAUUAACUGGCUGUCCAUGUAAUUUGACAAUGUGGUCUAGGAAGAGUUUGGCAACACUUGGGGCAGAGUAGGGGUGAGAAAGGGGUAGGAAAUGUGCAUACUUGGUGAGUCUGUCUACUACCACUAGUAUGACAUUCUUACCUUCUGACUUAGGCAGCCCUUCAAUAAAGUCCAUGGAAACAUGUGACCAAGCCUCUUUAGGAAUUUCCAAAGGUUCUAAUAAACCUGGGUAAGGAUUGGUUUCAUGCUUGGCUUUCUUACACACAUCACAACUCUGAACAAAAUUCAGAACAUCUGCUUUCAUCUUAGGCCAAUAGAAAAGUGAUUUGGCUCUGUGAUAAGUGCCAUGAAUGCCUGAGUGACCCCCAAUAGCUGUGUCAUGAAGACUCUGUAGCAGCUUAUCCCUCAAUAACAGAUCUGAUCCAAUGCAGAUUCUCCCUUUAUACCUCAAAAUACCCUGCACUACUGAGUAAUCAGGAAAGGAAGAAGAAUCCAACACCUGAGCAGCUAAUAUUUUCUUGAUAGCAGCAUCUUGUUCAUAGCUAUCAAGAACCUCUAGCAUCCAUUUAGGUUGAACAGUGGUAGUGGCAUAGCACUCCCCAUUUGUACACUCCUUCCUUGAAAGGGCAUCAACUACUCUAUUCUCUGCCCCUUUUUUAUACUCAAUGGUAUAAUCUAACCCAAUCAAUUUAGAAAUCCAUCUCUGUUGAAGGGCUGAAGUGAACUUUUGAUCCAUAAUAUACUUGAUGCUUUGCUGAUCAGUUCUAAUAGUGAAGUGGUGGCCCUGUAAAUAGUGUUUCCACUUCUGAAUGGCCAGCAAAACAGCCAUAAACUCCCUCUCAUAAAUAGAUAAUGCCUGAUUCCUUAAACUGAGUGCCUUACUGAUGAAAGCUAUAGGUCUGGAGCCUUGCAUUAGUACUGCUCCAAGACCUGUAGAGCUGGCAUCUGUUUCCACCAGGAAGGGUUUAGAAAAGUCAGGCAGGGCAAGCACUGGUGAUGUAACCAUAGCCUCUUUGAGCUGUGCAAAAGCACUUUCUGCUUCCUUAGUCCAAUGAAAACCUCCUUUUUUUAACAUCUCUGUCAAGGGCUUGCUAAUAGCUCCAUAGCAUUGAACAAACUUCCUGUAAUAACCUGUAAGUCCUAAAAACCCUCUGAGUCCUUUGACUGUUGUAGGUUUUGGCCAAUCCAACAUCCCUUUGAUCUUCUCAGGAUCAGUAGCUACCCCUUGCUCACUGAUAAUAUGACCCAAGUACUCAAUUGAAGGUUGAGCAAAGCAACAUUUAGACUGUUUAGCAUAUAAAGCAUGUUUCCUCAUAAUUGCUAGUGUAGUCUCUAAAUGAUGUAGGUGGUCCUCCAGACUCUUGCUGUAUAUCAAAAUAUCAUCAAAAAACACCAAUAUAAAUUUCCUCAAAUAAGAAGCAAACACCUGAUUCAUGAGAGAUUGAAAUGUAGCAGGGGCAUUACAAAGCCCAAAAGGCAUAACCAUGAACUCAAAAUGGCCAUGAUGUGUUUUAAAGGCUGUCUUAUACACAUCCUCAUCCCUCAUUCUGAUCUGGAAAUACCCUGACCUCAGAUCCAUCUUUGUAAACCACCUUGCCCCAUGUAAUUCAUCUAAUAACUCAUCUAUGACUGGAAUGGGGUAAUCAUGCUUCACAGUCAUAGUGUUUAGAUAUCUGUAGUCCACACACAUUCUCCAACUAGAGUCCUUUUUUCUGACCAAUAAGACAGGGGAGGCAAAUGGGCUCUGACUAUGCCUGAUCACUCCAUUCUCUAGAAGUUCCUUAACAAUUUGCUCAAUCUCAUUCUUAUAGGCAUGUGAAUACCUGUAAGGGUAGAGUUGUUUAGGAAUGGCAUCCUUCUUGAGAAUUAUGUGAUGUUCAACACCCCUGAUUGGUGGUAAACCCCUAGGCUCCUCAAAUAUAUCUUGAUACUCCUUCAACAGUUGUGUAACUUCAGCUGGAAAUACCUUCUGUGGUCCACUGUCCACAAUAGAGUAUACUUGACCCUCAGCAUCUCCUUUGUGAUGUUGCAUCAUUUUGUAAAAUGAUUCACUAGAAACCAACUUCCAGUCAACUUCUUCCUUGAUAUCAGUGAUCAUGACCCUAUGGACUCCACAUUUCACCUCAAUGCACCUUUUGUCAUAAUCAAAUACCAGUGGGCUACUCUUUAAAAGCCAAUCACACCCAAGAAUAACAUGAUAUCCCUCCAUAUCUAUUAUUCUUAGUGGAAAAUUAAAAGUAUGGCCCUGCAUCUGCCAAGCAAACUCCCUAAUGAUUCUGGAGCUCAAAAGUUUGGCCCCAUUUGCCACUGUAAUAAUCAUAUUUGGGGCCAUUUCCACUCUGCAGUUAAGCUCUGCAGCCAACCCUCCAGAAAUGAAGCUAUUUGUACUACCAGUGUCUAUAAGUAUAUUAAGUUGAACAUUCCCAAAAUUACCAUAAACCUUGAUGGUAUUCACUCCCGUAUUGCCCAAUAAGGCAUUGAGGGAAACCUGUACCUCUUCCCCUGAUACAUUUCCCUCCAACAUUUCUACAUCUGACAUGGUUUGAUAAUACUCCAUCUCUUCUGCUUCUGUCAUCAACAUGUAGAUAUGGCUGUGUUUGCAUUUGUGGUUAGGUGUAUAUGUGUCAUCACAGUUGUAACAGAGCCCUUUUUCUCUUCUGGCUCUCAUUUCAGCUAUGGUAAGGUUCUUUCUCUGGGGAAGCAGAGCAGGUGGUGUGUAGGUUGGUGGUUUAUUAGGUUGAGUGGGUGGUGGAUUGGGGUUGUGCCAUAUUUUCUUUGGUUGUGGAAAUGGGGUAGUGGUUGGUCUGUAGGGUGGUUUGUUCUUUUUGGUGAUUGACUCAAUGGUAUGUGCUUGUUUCCUGGCCAUUUCCAUGACAUGAUGCAAGCCUUUGAUGUCAAAAAGGGAAAAGAAGCUCCUGACUUCCUCAGGCAGCCCCUUCAUAAAACAGUGCACAAAGUACUUCUCAUCAUAUGUCCUAGUGUUAAAUAGCAGUAAAUAACACCUCAUCUCCUCAAACUUUUCAAUAAACUCCUCAACAGAUUCUGUCACCUUUAGAGAGUGUAUAUCAUCCAACACAUUCCCUUCCUGUAACUCCUCAAAUCUGUUGGUGACUAACCCUACAAAAUCCUCCCAAUACAAAUCCCUCUGAUUCAAAUGGCUAUACCAUGAGGCUGCCUUGCCCUCAAGGUGAAUGGAAGCUAUGGCAACCCUCUGCUUGUUAGGUAUAUUUGGGAUGAGUUGAAAGUAGCUAUCACACCUCAGUAGCCAUGAUCUAGGGUUAGAUCCAUCAAACCGUGGGAAUUCAACUCUAGGGCUAGGGUUAAAUCCCACAGCAAACUGCUCAUCCCUUUCAUGCUGUUUAAACCCCCUUAAUUCAGUAGCUGGCCUAGUGUAGUGUUCAGGAGUAGCCAUAGGGAUUGUAGAGUUACCAGAAGCUGAUGAUGAAGGUCCCCCUCCCAUAAGUGGUUUGUCUCUGUGGUAGAACUCCAUUCUUUCAGCAAUUUUGGUCAUCUGUAGCUGCAAUAGCUCUACUGCCUUUUGCAUUUGUGUCUGCCCUUCUGUUACAGAUUGUGAUACCAAAUUGAGCUGAUUUUGGAGCAAAAUCUCUACUGCCUGUCUCCUAUCCACCUCCUCUUGGAUCUUCUGAUCCACCAAUUUCUUGUGUGUUUAUAAUAUUUCCUUAGAUCUGGUAGCUUCAGCCAUAUUUGUAGUGUUUUUCUCCAGGAAAAAGAGCCUUGCUCUGGAUACCAAAUGUAAGGAUCUGAUGUAUUUAAUAUUAUAUUUUGAGUAUUAUAUAUAUUGCCUUUCAAUGGAACAGUAGAAUAGGGUUAAUUGGGGAGGAAGAAAUAGGAAAGAAAGAGUAAAGAAGAAGAAAGAGUUGGUGAAAUUCAGAUAAAAGUGGCUAGUUGCCUUCAUUAAUGAUUUUCAUGCUAUUUAUAGAAACCUGCCAAAUAUGACCUAAAGGGAUAUUCCCCUUUACCCAAUACAAAACUAACACCUGUCCUUAUUCUAAUUGCAGGUAUUUAAAUAAAAUUGGUUGCCAGCACAUUUGCUGGAAUCUUCAACAGCCCAUCCGGUGUUGGGCUCAAGCUUUAGGCCCACUUCAGCAGCUGAGUAUGGUUUGGGCUUAGAAUAAUGCGGCCCACUCGAAUCUCCCAUUUUGUGCAUUUCUGCAGCCAAAACGCCGUCGUCUUCAAUUCCUUUAUUGAAAGCCCUAAUUUUACGAUUGCCCCUUUUCCUCUUCGAUCCCCAAUUCAAUUUGCCUGAGUACAUGACACUCUUGUAUUUGUGAAGAUUACUUGUUUGAUGUUUCUUUUUGCAAUUUGGCUACUGUCUGGUGAUCAAUUUUUCCUUUUUUUUUUUUUUUUGGGAAAAUUCCAGAAAAAUUUCGAAAGAAUUCCGAAAAAUUCCGAAAAUGAAAAUUUCCGAAAAAUCCGAUUUUCCAAAAGUAAUAUUGUAAUUGUAGUCGGAAGCAAGGAAGGAUUCGUUUCUUUGUUGUACAGCUGCAGAAUAGUCAAAAGACAGAGACAGCUCAACUUGAAAACUAGUAGUAAUAAAGCAUGAUUAGUACUAAUCUAAUUAGCGUUUUGCUGCUCUUAUUAUUAUCAAGUCUUCUCUUCUCUUUUUUAGUUGCAACCAGUCGUCAAAGUAAAUAAAUAAAUAAAUAGAGAUAAUCUCAUGACUUUCUGGUUUGUUUUCCAACCAUCUUCAACAACAACAGUUACAAUUGGAGGCGUUUCUCAGAUUUAGGUCUGACACCACCACAAUUGAAGCAAGCAACAAUGCAAAUGGCGUUUCAACUCUCUCUUUCCUCCUCCUUCCUCCCAUCUCCACUCCCCACAACCACCACCACCACAACCAGAAUGACCGUUACCCAGUCACCCCGCAGGCUGAUUUAUAUCUCCUCCUCCACCAAUUCAUCAUCGUCGACAACCGUCAAUUCUCCCAAGAAAAAGCACUGGAAAGUAGGGGAAUAUCCUGGCCUCACUCAUACCUCCAACCCUAAAUUCUCAACCAAUAAGAAGAGAACCCCCAUUAAGAACAUCAAGAAAAAGCUCGACAGAAAGAUUAAUGCCAACGCUUGGGUUAAUACUGUCACCGAAGCUCUUUCUGAUGCCAUCGAUAAAAAGCAAUGGCUCCGGGCUCUUCAGGUUUUACUCUAUUCCCCAACCACUUUUCUUUCAUCUUUUCAGUAAAUGGUGUGCUGCUGUACUUUUCUUUCUGAGCUUAUCGGCUCAUGAAUUCAAAAGGAUGACGAGGGAGUUCUGAAUUUGUAUUGGAUAAGAUUCAAUGCUUUACUAUAUAUUAUAUGUCAUAUAAUCAUCAGUAACUCAAAUUGCAAAUAUAAGUCUUGACUGCCGAAGACAAUGAUGCAUUACUUUUCUCUUUGCUUUCUGAACCAGAAAUUAAUCCAUAAACUUAUCACCACCCCCAUUAAAUCUUUAUAGGUAUUUGAGAUGCUAAAGGUGCAACCUUUUUACCACCCAAAAGAAGGGACUUACAUGAAGCUACUUGUUCUUCUAGGAAGAUCCGGUCAACCUGGACAAGCCUCUCAGCUGUUUGAUGAAAUGCUUCAAACAGGAUUAGAACCAACCCCAGAACUUUACACAGCAUUGCUUGCUGCAUGUUGCAGGAGCAAUCUGAUUGAUAAAGCUUAUGAAGUUCUUGAACAAAUGAAGUCUCUCCCUCUUUGCCAGCCUGAUGUCUAUACCUAUAGUAUACUGAUUAAGGCCUGUGCCGAUGCUUUUCGUUUCGAACUGGUUGACUCCCUAUAUGAUGAAAUGGCUGAAAGAUUAAUCACCCCAAAUACUGUAACUCAAAAUACAGUACUGAGUGGUUAUGGAAAGGCGGGGAAAUAUGAAGAGAUGGAGAAGAUUCUCUCCAAGAUGCUUGAAAGUACGACAAGCGAACCUGAUGUAUGGACUAUGAAUACGAUUAUCGGUUUGUUUGGCAAUGUGGGUCAGAUUGAAAUGAUGGAGAAAUGGUACGAGAAGUUUCGCAAUUUCGGGAUCGAGCCGGAAACACGCACAUUCAACAUUCUGAUUGGUGCGUAUGGUAAGAAAAGGAUGUACGAUAAGAUGUCAUCUGUGAUGGAGUACAUGCGGAGGCUUUCAUUUCCGUGGACAACAUCGACCUACAACAAUGUGAUUGAGGCAUUUUCUGAUGCCGGUGAUGCAAAGCACAUGGAGUACACAUUUGAUCAGAUGCGUGCUGAAGGCAUUAAGGCGGACACCAAAACAUUGUGCUGCCUCAUACGAGGUUUUGCCAAUGCUGGUCUCUUUCAUAAAGUGAUCAGCAUGGUUCAGUUGGCUGGGAGAUUGGAGAUACCUGAGAAUACCUCAUUCUUUAAUGCAGUCAUAUAUGCUUGCUCUAGAGCAGAUGAUUUAAUGGAGAUGGAAAGAGUGUUCAAGAGAAUGAAAGAUAAGUCAUGUCAACCAGAUUCCACAACUUACUCGGUUAUGAUGGAUGCGUAUAGAAAAGAAGGUAUGAGUGACAAGGUGUAUGACCUGGAGCAAGAAAUGCAGAGGAUGAAUGGUGGUAAGGUAUCCAAAGGGUACGAUGAUGUAGAAACAGAGGCUAAUGAUGAUGUCAGCAAAGAGGUGUUGGUAAUGGUAUGAGUGUUGGUGGUGUCAAUUAAUUUCUGGGAAAAUUGCUAUGAAAAGUUGAUCAUGAUUGAUAUCCAGAGUGGGUAAAUCACAAAUAAAGCCAUGCUGGUCGUAGUAGUGUUAGUAAUCGUGGCAUGAAGGUAGUUACAAAUAUCUAAUAGCUGUUUGUCUUUGUGUUUCUCCCUUACCGUGAUUCUGAACUCCGAGAAUGAAUUGAUAUCAUACUUGCUGCGGGCUAAAGAAUGAAUUGAUAUCAUAAACCUGCAGUUGUCCUCACAUAUGUAAUUUUGUAGCCGUGUUAUAAAUCUUAAAGUUGUAAUUUCGUAAGGCAUCAAUUGUUUAUGAAGUGUUGUUUUUGCAGUAGCACUGCCACAGAUGAUCUAAUUAGAUCAUAUGGUUUCAUUUUCUUUCUUUCUUUCUUUCUUUCUUUCUUUCUUUCUUUCUUUCUUUCUUUGUUUAUUAGGAGUGUUGUAUUGAAGUUAGGAGUGUUGUAUUGAAGUUUAGGCUGUAAAAAGAUAAAUUGUUGUAUAAGGGGUGGAAAUCGGAAUGAAAGUUCAGAUUUCCGCCGAAUCCGAUCCGAAAUAUAACGAUUUUGGAACGACUUUUUCAAUUCCGAAUUCCGAAAUUCCGAUUUCCGAAAAUUCCGAAAAAAAUCGGAUCGGAAUCGAAAAUACAUAACAGAAUUUCCGAUUUCCGAAAUUAAGUAUAUAGGGAUAAGCCAUUUUUCUUUACUGCCUUUUAUUUUGCCUUUUUUUUCGGCCCACUUAAUGCUGAAACGCCGCCGUUUCGUAUUCCCCCACCAAUCAGCAUCCGUAAUUAAUUUUUUUUUAAAUUUAUUUUGCAAGCAGCUCGACCAUGUCGUGGCUGCUUGAUUUCCGAUUUUCUUUUAUUCCGCUUUCUGCAAAACGACGUCGCUUUGCCGGCUGCACCCUUACCCAUGGCCAACAAUUGUUGACCUCCGCCAUUGAUCAGUCCCGCCGCCGCUCCACCCGAUGCACCUAUACCACGGCACCGCCUUUUUUCUCCAAUAGUAUGCGUCGCCGCCCUCCUCGUCUCUAUCUUCAAUUUGUGUAAAUGCUUUCCGCCUCGCACUCAAUUCUUUCCCAUCUUUUUGCUUUAAUUGUUUUUCCUCCUAAUAAAGCUCUGUGGUGAUCUUUGCUCUCGUCCUCUUCUCCGGCCGUCCAAACUCUUGGCUGUGUUGUGCUGCUUUUAAUUUUCACAGCGAAGAAGUUCAAGUGGGUAGGUAGUACCUACGUGGGUUUUCUGCAUUUUCUGAACAAGCUUCGAUCUUUUCUCUUGGCAUUCAAUCGGUUUCAAGAUUCAACCUUUUUUCCGAUUCUUGGAUAACCCUUUGGUUACUGUUACAGGUUAGGACACUAAAUUUACUUAUUUUACUGAUUCUUUCAACUUCCUUUCAUAAAUUACUGGAAAACUCAUGUUAGGCGUACUGAUUCUAAUUACGUAUCUAUCUUGUCUGUGCUUUUUUCUUUUGUUUUCGUUUAGGGUUUUUGUAGUUCUGAUUCUAAUUUGGUGGGUCAGUUCAGAUUUGCAAAUUGCGCCGUAAAAGGGGCUUGAAGACUGUGUUUAUUAGAGGAGGGUCUGGUGGUUCUGUUAAUUCCGGGCCUAGCGCAAAUAUUCAUGGGUCCCGUGGUGGUGGUGUGAUGCACUAAUGGUUUUCUAUUUUUGGUUGAUAAUCAAUAAUUUUUGUAAACUCAUUUUUCUAUGUUUUUAUGCGAUCGCAGAAUACGUUGAUUUUGAGAGCGAUUCCGGGGUUAAAUGAAAUCGGAAAGGCUUUAUUAGGUAAUUCAAUUAAUUUAUCUUUUAAAAAAUUAUUGGUUUAAAAUAAUGUCUCCCUGAUUUAUUGGGAAUUUAGUUUGAAAUAUGAGGAGGUACUAAGCUAUUUCUGAUGAUUAUCUUAUUCUGCUGUUUGAAAAUUUUGCUUCUGAAGUAAAUUCUGAGCGAUCGUUUGUUCUUCAGCUAACGAUAAUUGGGUUGUAGGAACUGUUGCUGAGCAAGUCAUGCUUCUGGAGAAUAUAGGGACAUAUCUGUUCUUGUUUCUGGAAAUCAGGUUUAGUACACGAUACAAGCUCUUAAUUCGUUCUGUUUAUACUAAUAUUUUCGUAUCAAAUUAUGGAUGCAUUAAAUGUUUGAACUUCUGUUUUAUGAUACCUCUAGGAGUCUGAGUACUGUGUAAAUAUAUUUAUUUUUUGAUUCAAUUUGCGGCAAUUGUUAUAUUCUUUUAGAUAUUACUCGUAUAACUGUGUCUGUUUUGUUUGUAUAGCUCCCUGAACUUCAUGCAUUGAUGGUAGAGGCUGCCAGUAUACUGAACAUUGACGCGCCCGACUUAUAUUUGCGCCAAAGUCCUGUGCCUAAUGCAUAUACUUUGGCUAUCAGUGGGAAAAAGCCAUUUGUUGUCGUUCAUACAAGCUUAGUGGAGCUUUUGUCAAGAAAGGAAUUGCAGGUACUAAACCUUACUUCUGGUAGUGCUUGAGUUGUACUUUAACCUUUAUUUGCUGUAUCACAUACAUGCUGUUUUGGCACAUGAAUUGGGUCAUCUGAAGUGUGACCACGGUUUAUGGCUCACGUACGCUAAUAUUCUUACUCUUGGAGCAUAUUCUAUACCCGGUAAGCUCUUGUUUUUCGUUGGUCGGCCUGAGUCAGUUCUACAAUUAUGGUUGGGGGUUGUUUAGUGUUUGUUCUAUUAGACAACAAAUAUCGUAUUUUUUUCACUUCGUUCCAAUAAAAGUUGUACCCGUACGGAAUUCUUCUGUUUCCCCGUGUGAUCUCUAUGAUCACCUCUAUUCCCUUUAUCAAUUCGCCUAUAUUAAGAACUAUUAAGACCAUCGACUAUAUUUCACAAGCUCUUUAUUCAUAGGCCUUGGCGGUUUGAUUGCUCAGCAAUUAGAAGAACAGCUCUUCCGCUGGCUUCGAGCAGCAGAACUUACUUGUGAUAGGGCCGCCCUUCUUGUUGCUCGGGACUCAAAGGUAGAUAGAUAGUAUUAAGAUUAAUCUAUUGCCCUUUUGAUAUCAAACUAUGAUUAUUAUUAUUUAUUAUUAUUAUCUUUUAAUCAUCUUACACGUGCUCUCGCCACAAGAGGUUGUCAUCUCCGUUCUGAUGAAAUUAGCUGGUGGCUGCCCCUCUAUGGCUGACCAAUUAAACGUGGAUGCCUUUUUGGAGCAAGCUCGAUCUUAUGAAAAGGCUUCUUCUAGCCCAGUUGGGUGGUAUAUAAGGUCAGCCAACUCAUCUUGCUAUGCAAAAAGAAUAUAAUUAAAAGAUGCUAUCUUGCUAUGUGGAUGUUAAAAUAUGGUAGAUGCUUUAACUUGUUCAACUCUGCUCAGAAAUGCUCAAACGAGGCAACUUUCCCAUCCUCUCCCGGUUCUGCGUGCACGUGAGAUUGAUGAAUGGUCCAAAAGUCCAGAGUAUCAAUCUCUUCUAAAGAGUUUGAAGUGGGUCAACUCAGUGCAAAAUGUAUAACGUUGGAUUUUUGAAGUAUUCCAGAGUCUUUUGUACAGUUAUAGGGUGAAGUUUCCGAACCCCUGCUAUCUGCUUAAAUUGGAAAUUAAAACAUUUUCGAUCUUAUUAUGUGAAGUUGAUAAAUUUGUCCAUUUUGUGCGACAUGUGCAGAUUCUUGAAGCAAGAUUGAUAAACAUGGAGCUGCACGAAGUGUUACACUGCUAUUCAAUUUGAGUAAUGUGGGUUUUAAGUUAAUAGAAUAGAAUAUUACAGGGGUUAUUACUCCACGGAUACAGCAUACAGGUUGGGGUUCUCCCCAUGAGUUUGGAUCAAUUAUAGUGAAGAUAUUGAACAAUGUUAUUCCUGAUAUUUCUGUAUAUACGAUAUUACAUUGUAUAUAAUAUGUUACGAGUGUUACCUUGCUGGAGGAGCUGGAAGUAGCUUGGCAUUCCGUGUGGAGAAUCCGUCGCCAAUUUUUUCUCAUGGAAUUAGUUGCAUUGCUGUAGUGCCAAGUGGGUCCCGUUCGGGUGCAGAAACAGUGAAGAAGAUGAGGGGUAGGUCUAGAAAUAUAUACCCGGUAGAGCAGCUAAUAUGUCGUUAGGGCUGUCACCUGUUUCGGCCGCUCCAUCAUUUGAGCGGAUUGCCUCGGGGGAGAGAGCACGAAAGGGGCGGCCGCCUGGCACAUGGUCGAAACAGAAACUCCUCCUCUUGGUAAGUUUUGUUCGAGAGUAAAUUGAUGUAGAACUGAAGUAAUCCUAAUGUGUUAUUUUCUUUCAAAAUGCGAUUUUUGUUGUCGAAAGUACGAGUCUUUAGGAGAUAUUGCCUUUCGUUUUCCUCUAAAUGCACAUGUUUCAGUAUUCUUAUCGAUUUAGUUAUCGUAAGUUCGUAACCUUUGUCAGUGAGAUGUGAGAAAGAGAAAAUAAUUAUCUUUAAUUAGGCGAAUGGAUGAACACGUCAGCGGGACUAGCAUUUACACCACAUAUACUACACGUUAGAGUCGGAGAGGUACGUUUGUUGCAUUCCCUAAUUAAUUAUCUUGAUUUUAUUCGAUAUUCCGUCAAUUUGCAAUACUAUUUUUUAUGUUGCAAUUAUUAAUUUCUAAGUCAUGUACAAGAUAUUACGGCAAAAAUACUGGCAUUUGCACGACAGCGACCGAGAUGUUUAUGCAUCAUGUCAGGUAGUGGAGGAAGUUAUCCUCUUACUUUGACCUGCAAAUUACAAUAUUACAAGAACAAGGUUCUUGGUAGUGAUUUUUCCUCUUUGUUUUCUUGACAUGCCCCUACCAAUAACUGAGAUCAAUGUGCAGGCUAAGGUAGAUGUCUUCAAUGCAAAAGUUAGGUAUUUGUUCUUACAAGAUGGUCUGAUCAAAAUACUGAAAAAGCAAGAUUGAUUGUUUUCUGGAAUAACUAUUUUUUGGCUUUAAUUUUCUGCUAAGUCAGCUUAUUAUAUUUUCCAGACAAAAUGCCUGCUGAGGAAUAUCCUCUGCCGCAUUGUGCUGUUCAUUUUUUUGGGGGUUGGGUUUGGGUUUGGGUUUACGAUUUGUUCGGUCAAACUUUUCCCUGUUAUUGAUAUUUCAAUUUCUCUUUACGGAUUGGAUUAGUUUUACGGCCGUUUUGAUAGUCACUUUUAUGUUUUUCUACCUUUCUGAAUUCCUUUAUUAUUUGUUGGUAGAAUUAACUCAGGGCCUGAUAUUUUACACUAUUUCCUUUUGGAUUUGGCAUUUGGCCAUCAGUACUUUAAUUAUUACAGAAAUCCGAGGUUCUUGAAGACACCGAUGAUUGUUAACGGAGCUGGGAAUCGUCACCACGGAGGGAAAGGCAUUUUGCAGUCCACAAUGUCGGUCUAGGCAAACCUCGAUUGAUGAACAUAGCGAGAGGUCGCGUCGCUCUGCGGCGAAGAAGAAGAGGGAGUACUCUGUUUCGCCCUGCUCUGGUAAACUUGAGUUUAUAGCAAAAAAUAUAAUAGAAGAUUCAAAUGUUCCACUAUUAUAUUGAUGUUUCCGGGGACUAUUAUAUUGAUGUUUCCGGGGACUAUUAUAUUGAUGUUUCUUGUUGGCAUUUAUUUUUUACAGCUGCUUUUAUUCGGGCGACUGAAUUCUGAGAUGGAGUAGCUUUGUGCGUCCGACGACUUCGUCAGCCGUUGGAGUUGUUUAUAUUUUUUUGAUUUCUGCCUCGUAUAUUUCUGUUUUUUUCUUACGAUUUAUUUUGGUUCGUUUAGGUUUUCUAAUCUGUUUUGCUUAUUUGAAUUUAAUGCCCUUUUGCUAUUUAGAUGUUUGUAGAAAUUGUACUUGGUCCCGGUGAAAAAAAAAUGGGGGGAGCUUGUUCGAGCGCCAGGAUUUAUAGACCUGGGAUUCUCAUUAACUUAAUGACUUCUUGUUUCUGUUACUCUAUGUACUUUAUUUGUAUUGAAUCUAUUUUUUUCAGUUCCGAGAUUAGGGAUGUCUAUUGUGCUCAAAAUUUUGAUUAUGAGUUUUUUUUCAAUAUAGGGAUGCCGAUGUUGGUUUCUUCGGCAGCCACCAUCAGGUUCGCUCAAUUUUUAUCCACAUGACUUUUUUCUUUCCGUUCACUUUAAUCAAGCCCCAUAACAUCCCUCUAUAAUUCUUGAAUCCCGUACUCCUUGACUGGCGCCAUCUCUUCGCCCCAUCUCGAUGCAUAUGGGUGUAACUUUCACUUUUGAGUACCAAUUCAUAAAAACGCAGAAUCGAUGCAUGUUUAUCGUUUUCUGUGGUUUAUAUAUAAUUAUUUGUUUGUGUUUACCUUUUCAUUUGUUAUAGGUUGCUGAUUGAGUUUAGGCCUUUUUUAGUUCUGCGGGAUUUUUACAGAAAUUUUGGACUGAUAUACAUUUAUCUUUGGAUGUCUGUAAUUUUAAAUUUGUAUUACAAUUCUAGGUUGAAAUUUUUGAACACUUUUGUCUCCUCAUUUGAUGUAGAACGCACAAAAGAAUUUCCAAACGGGAGAAAAGAGGCACGAAGAAAGCACAAGUAUUUAUUAUCUUUUACAGCAUUAUGUUAUUUUAUUUUUUCCAUUUUACGUGAUACUUGUGGUUCCUUCGUUACAUUUUUGCAGCCUAUUAUUUUGGAUUGACCUGUUUGCCUAAAAGGAUUGGUAUGACGUUAAUGCCUCAUCUGUUGUUUAUAAUUAUUCGGUUUCUUUAUCAUAUGAGGUGGUUUUUUUUUUUUUUUUUUGAUUAUUUAUGGAAUAGUCAAUACUUGUUCAGCUUGAUGCAUGUGCUUUUGUUUGUUGUCUUUCUGGAAUGAAAAUUCAGUACGAGUCAUUUGAGCAACAGAUGUUUUGUUCUAUUAAAUAUCUCGGUAUAUUUAUCUUAUCAAGUUCAAUUGAAUUUAUUUCAGUAAACUUUUGCUAAUUUCUGAUGUUUUUAUGUGUGCAAUGCAAAAGAACCAGCAGCUGACGGGGGAGUAGGAACAAGGUAAGUGAGAAGUUAUAUGUGUGGAUGAUCAACUGCUUUGGCGUUUGUGCAGUGUGAUGUUAUUUUUUGAAACUUGGUCUUCCUAUCGUAAAUUAUAUCUAUUUUGUAAGCAUGCUCCUUAUCUCAUGUUUUUGGUUUUUGUUUCGGUUUCGGUUUUAGUUUAGGCGAUGUUAUGUGAUUUGUAGAUUGGUUCAACUUCGGUGUUGUUUAGAAGCGAACAUAUGUUUUGGGCUCUGUGUUUCAUGUCUACGUAAAUUUACGAUUUUGUUGGAUGCCAUAUAUGCCUUCUUUUUAAUAUGUAACUUGCAUAAAUACACACUGGAAGUUGUUUUUGUUUUGUAAGCAUGCUCCUUAUCUCAUGGUUUUGGUUUCGGUUUAGGUUCGUUUUUGGUUUAGGUUCAUUUUUGGUUUCGGUUUUGGGAAAUUGAAUUGCUUUUCACCUAUUGCUCGUGGUUUCUCCCUUCCCCUUUUCUUCUUUUCGUUUUCAUUAUAUAUAUUAAAAGAUUUGCAGUUUUGAGUUCUUUUGUGUGGGUUACGUCUAUGAUGGAUUUUCGUAUGUGUGUAUGUAUGCGGCAUUUUCUGUGUGCAGACAUAUUACGUUGUCCAGGCAUAUUACGUUGUCCUUGUCCAGUUACAGAGAUUUGGAAAUUGUCUGCUUUGCAGAAUGGUCCAUUACAAGACAAAUUCCUGCAGUACCCCUUCACUAACUUCGUAGCUAAAAAAGGCCACAGAUGUAUUUAUUUGUUUAUUUCAAUCGUUAGGCUACUGUUUUCGUAAGUGUAGCUAUUACCUACCGUUAAUGUCAUAUACAAUGGCGGCCUUCAUUGACAAAAAUAGAGUUUAGCGUAAACGAUGUAGCUUAUUUCUCGUCCUUUUACAAUUUAUACCAAGCAAUUUUGGUACUGUAAAAUUGUCUUUAUUUCUUAAAACUCCCCAACACAUUUGGAGUUUUUCUCUGUUACUCUUCUUUCUGAUUUGCAAGACCACAGGUUGAAUUAGCUUUCCAUUUCGACUGGGUUAUCUUCCUUUCGUUGCUUAUUUUUGUUUUCCAUAAGCUUGCAGCUCCACUUUGUCCUCUACUUCAUUUUUUAGGGUGUGCGGGGUAUUAAUUUUCUCAAUUUAUUUUGAUCGAAUUAUCGCCGCUGUUUGUGGCACCACUUCUUUUCAUCUGUGUAUCAUGUGCCUUAUUGUCGAUUUUAGUAUACCCUUCCUUUAGUAGCUCUACCUUUAUUUCCAGAAAUACAAAUUGGCCCCCACUUGGGGUAUUACCGGUUUAAGGACCAAAAUUUAAAACUAUAUAUAGUAUACGGAACAAAACUGUAAUUAUCCCAAGUUUAUUAUAAAUAAUAUAAUAAAUUAACGUUUUCUUAAAUCGUAAAUCGUAAAAUUUAAUCGAUAUCAUUUGAAUCAACCAACUUAGGUAUGAAUGAAUUGAAUCGUAAGAUUUGAAUUGUAAAUCAUAAGAUUUUAAACUCGGUAUUGCGAAUUUUGGCAAACGAGUCACACUCGAUUACAGUUGAGGAGGAGUUGAAGCAUGUUGCAUUCCUGGUGGAUAUUCGGAUAUUACAGGAGGGAUCCACUUUGGGAUCAAAUUCGCAAUUUGGGUGGAGCGGUUAUGAAGAUUGAGUAAGUAUAGCGGUGAUUCUGCAAUUUUCAGAACUGUUUCAGUAAGGGAGGUGGAUUUUCAGAAAUUACUAAUUGACCCCACUUGGGGGCAUUUCCGGUUGAAGGACCAAAACUGUAAUCAUCCCAAGUUUAUUAUAAAUAUUAUAAUAAAUUAAAGUUUUGUUAAAUAGUAAAUCUUAAAAUUUGAUCGAUGUCUUGCGAUUUAUUUUAGCAUUUGAAUCGACUUAGGCAUGAAUGAAAUGAAUUAUACGAUUUGAAGCUUAAAUCAUAAGAUUUUAGGCUCGGUAUUGCAAAUUUUCGUAAAUGAGUCACACGUGAUUACAACCGAGGUGGUGGGAAGAUGGAGUAAGUAUAGGAGUAAUUCUGCAAUUUUCAAAACUAUUUCAGUUAGGGAGGUGGGUUUCGAGAAAUUACAAAUUGACCCCCACUCGGGGGCAUUACCGGUUGAAGGAUCAAUAUUAAAAAUGGUAUAUAAGAGUAUUCUCAAAACAUUCUUAUAGUUGAUUUUAUUCGGCCGAGUGAAUUCUCAGCUGGAGUUGAGUUCGUCCACAUCUGUAGACGGCGCCACUCUGUCGAGUAGCUUUGCGCUUCCGACGACUUCGUUUGACGUUGGACUUCUUUAUAUUACUUUGAUUUAUGCCUCUUAUAUUUGUAUUUUUUUCCUUACGAUUUACUUCUUGUACAUUAUCCUUCAAAUUUUUUGCUCCCUCUCUCCACCAAAUCCUUAUUUCCCGGCCUCCGUCGACUGGACACACGAGGCACACAUUCCGGCGGUUUUCGAUUUGUGUUCUCAUAUUUUCCAAUUUUCUCUGCGCAUAUUGGUGCUUCAGGGAAGUGGAUGAAUUGCUGCUCGAUCUCAAAAGGCCUUCCCUAUUUCCUUCUAUGAUUGUUGCUUUUGUUCAGGAAAGCGGAUGAAAUCGCUGCUCGAUCGCAAAAAGCCCUCCCUCUCUUCUAUGAAUAUUUGUUUUCGUAGUUGGGGCUAUUAGGUCUUUAAUUUAAGCAACUGGAUCGUAUAAUUGCAUUUUCAGAACUUUUGAAUGCAACAAAAUCAGGUGAGGAAUCACACGUUCACCUCAUAUUCAUUCUCUGUUUUCCCAUUUAUUAUUUUCUUCUUGUUUUUCAAUUUCCUAUAUAUCAGAUUACAAAAAGAUUUCAAGCACGUGAAGGUAUUCACAGUUUUAUGUAUGUAGACACUUGUAAUUCGAUCUUUCUCGUAUUUUAAUACCUGUUGGUAAAAUUGAAAACCAAAAAUUUUAUUGUACGUCGCAUAAUUUUUUGAACUGUUUAUCAUGUUCGUGGCGUGCGUUUAAGUUUUCUUUUUAGGUUUGUACUGUUUCCGAAUAACGAUUUGAGAAUUACAUACAUUUUUUUUUAAUUUUGGUCCUUAAACAAAUGCACCCUACGUGGGGGUCAAUUUGUAAUUUCAGGUAAUCCACUGAAACAAUUUUGAAAAUUGCAGAAUUGCGCUAUACUUACUCCAUCUUCCCAUCCGUUCCACCCAAAUAGCAAAUUUUACACCAAAGUAGAUCUCUCUUGUAAUAUCCGAAAUAUCAGCCACCAACGCAGUAUGCUUCGACUCCUCAGCUAUAAUUGUGUAUGACUCAUUUACGAAAAUUCGCAAUACCGAGUUUAAAAUCUUAUGAUUUACGAUUCAAAUCUUACGAUUCAAUUAUUCAUACCUAAGUCGAUUCAAAUGUUAAAAUAAAUCUUGAAUACCGACAAAACGAUCAAAUUUUACGAUUUACGAUUUAAGAAAACAAUAAUUUAUUAUAUUAUUUAUAAUUAACGUGUUAUAAUUACUAUUUUGGUCCCUAUAUUAUAUCCCAUUUUUAAUUUUGGUCCUUAAACCGGAAAUGCCCCCAAGUGGAGAUCAAUUGGUAAUUUCCGAAAAUCCACCUCCCUAGCUGAAGCAGUUCUGAAAAUUGCAUAAUCACUCCUAUACUUACUCAAUCUUCAUAACUGCUCCACCCAAAUUGCAAAUUUGACCCCAAAGUGGAUCUCUCUUUCAAUAUCAAAAUAUCCGCCACAUUUAUGAAAAUUCGCAACACCGAGCAUAAAAUCGUAUGAUUAGUGAUUCAAAUUUUACGAUUCAAUUCAUUCAUAUCUAUGUUGAUUCAAAUGUCAAAAUAAAUCUUAAAUAUCAACAAAUCGAUCAAAUUUUACGAUUUUUGGUCCAUAUAUUAUUAUAUAUAUAUUUUUUAAUUCUGGUCCUUAAACUAUAAAUGCACCCCAAGUGGGGGUCAAUUUGUAAUUUUUGGAAAUCCAUCUCCCUUAAUGUAACAAUUUUAAAAAUUCAGAAUCACCCCUAUAGUUACUCCAUCUUCCUAUCCGCUCCAGCCCAAUUGCAAAUUUAUCCCCAAAGUGGAUCUCUUUUGCAAUAUCCGAAAUAUCCGCCACCAACCCAGUGUGCUUCUACUCCUCAGCUAUAAUCGCACGUGACUCAUUUAUGCAAGUUCACAAUACCGUGUUUAAAAUCAUAUGAUUUACAAUUCAAAUCUUACGAUUCAAUUCGUUCAUACCUAAGUCGAUGCAAAAGUUAAAAUAAAUCUUAAAUAUCAACAAAACGAUCAAAAUUUACAAUUUACGAUCAAAGAAAACUUUAAUUUAUUGUAUUAUUUUUAUGAUAAUUACAGUCUUGGUCCCUAUAUUAUAUACAUUUUUUUUGUUUUGGUCCUUAAACCGGAAAUGCCCCCAAGUGGAGGUUAAUUUGUAAUUUCCGAAAAUCCACCUCCCUGGCUUAAAUAGUUGUGAAGAUUGCAUAAUCAUCCCUAUACUUACUCCAUCUUCCGCUCCACCCAAAUUGCAAAUUUGAACCCAAAGUAGAUCUCUCUUUCACUAUCCAAAAUAUCCGCCACAUUUACGAAAAUUCGCAACAACGAGCAUAAAAUCUUAUGAUUUACGAUUCAAAUCUUACGAAUCAAUUCAUUCAUAUCUAUGUCGAUUCAAAUGUUAAAAUAAAUCUUAAAUAUCAACAAAUCGAUCAAAUUUUACAUUUUUUGGUCCCUAUAUUAUUAAACCUUUUUUUAUUUUUUUUUAUUUUUAAUUUUGGUCCUUAAAAAAGAAAUGCACCCCAAGUGGGGGUCAAUUUGUAAUUUUUGGAAAUCCACCUUCCUGGCUGAAACAAUUUUGAAAAUUGCAGAAUCACAACUAUACUUACUCCAUCUUCCCAGCCGCUCCACCCAAAUUGCAAAUUUAACCCCAAAGUGGAUCUCUCUUGCAAUAUCCGAAAUAUCCGCCACCAACACAGUAUGCUUCUACUGCUCCUCAGCUGUAAUCGCUUGUGACUCAUUUACGAAAUUUCGCAAUACUAAGUUUAAAAUCUUAUGAUUUACGAUUCAAAUCUUACGAUUCAAUCCGUUCAUACCUAAGUCGAUUCAAAAGUUAAAAUAAAUCUUAAAUAUCAACAAAACGAUCAAAUUAUGAUUUAAGAUAUUAGAAAACUUUAAUUUAUUAUAUUAAUUUUAAUAAACUUGUGAUGAUGACAGUUUUGAUCCCUAUAUUAUAUACCAUUUAUAAUUUUUGUCCUUAAACCGGAAAUGCCCCCAAGUGGAGGUUAAUUUGUAAUUUCCGAAAAUCCACAUCCCUGGCUGAAAUAGUUGUGAAGAUUGCAGAAUCAACCCUAUACUUAGUCCAUCUUCCUAACCGCUACACCCAAAUUUCUUAUUUGACUCCAAAGAGUGGAUCUCUCUUUCACUAUCAACAUAUCCGCCACAUUUACUAAAAUUCGCAAUAACGAGCAUACAAUCUUAUGAUUUACGAUUCAAAUCUUACGAUUUAAUUCAUUCAUAUCUAUGUCGAUUCAAAUUAAAUGUUCAAAUAAAUUUUAACUAUCAACAAAUUGAUCAAAUUUUACGAUUUUUGGUCCCUAUAUUAUUAUACAUUUUUUUUAUAAUGUUGAUCCUUAAAUAAAAAAUGAACCCCAAGUGGGGGUCAUGUAAUUUUUGGAAGUCCACCUCCCUGGCUGAAACAAUUUUGAAAAUUGCAGAAUCACUCAUAUACUUACUCCAUCUUCCCAGCCGCACUACCCAAAUUGCAAAUUUGACCCCAAAUUGGAUAUCUCUUGCAAUAUUUGCCACCAACGCAGUAUGCUUUGACUCUCCUCAAUUAUAAUCGUGUGUGACUCAUUUACGAAAAUUCGCAAUAUCGAGUUUAAAAUCUUAUGAUUUACGAUUCAGUCUGUUCAUACUUAAGUCGAUUCAAAAGUUAAAAUAAAUUUUAAAUAUCAACAAAAUGAUCAAAUUUUACGAAUUACAAUUUAAGAAAACUUUAAUUUAUUAUAUUAUUUAUAAUAAACUUGCGAUAAUUACAUAUUUGAUCCCUAUUUAUAUACAAAUUUUAAUUUAGGUCCUUCAACUGGAAAUGCCCCCAAGUGGAGGUCAAUUUGUACAUAUUUGAAAAUCCACCUCCCUGGCUGAAAUAGCUCUGAAAAUUGUAGAAUCACCCCUAUACUUACUCCAUCUUCCUAGCCGUUCCACCCAAAUUGCAAAUUUGACCCCAAAGUGGAUCUCUAUUUCAAUAUCCGCCACAUUUACGAAAAUUCGCAAUAUCGAGCAUAAAAUCUUAUGAUUUAUGAUUCAAAUCUUACGAUUCAAUUCAUUCAUAUCUACGUCAAUUCAAAUGUUAAAAUAAAUCUUAAAUUUCAGCUAAUCGAUCAAAGUUUACGAUUUUUGGUCCCUAUAUAACCUACAUUGUUUUUUUUUUUGUUUUUUUGUUUUUUUUUUAAUUUUUGUCCUUAAACAAGAAAUGCACCCCAAGAGGGGGUCAAUUUGAAAUUUAUGGAAAUCCACUUCCUUGACUGAAACAGUUUUGAAAAUUGCAGAAUCACCGCUAUACUUAUUCCAUUUUUCCAGUCGUUUUACCCAAAUAGCAAAUUUAACACCACUGUGGAUCUCUCUUGCAAUAUCCGAAAUAUUUGCCACCAACGCAGUAUGCUUCGACUCCUCAACUGUAAUCGCGUGUGACUCAUUUACGAAAAUUCGCAAUACCGAGUUUAAAAUCUUAUGAUUUACGAUUCAAAUCUUACGUUUCAAUUAUUCAUACUUAAGUCGAUUCAAAUGUUAAAAUAAAUCUUAAAUAUCGACAAAACGAUCAAAUUUUACGAUUUACGAUUUAAGAAAACUAUAAUUUAUUAUAUUAUUUAUAAUUAACGUGUUAUAAUUACUAUUUUGGUCCCUAUAUUAUGCCCCAUUUUUAGUUUUGGUUUAACGUAUUAUAAUUACUAUUUUGGUCCCUAUAUUAUAUCCCAUUUUUAGUUUUAGUCCUUAAACCGGAAAUGCCCCCAAGUGGAGAUCAAUUGGUAAUUUCAGAAAGGUUGCGGCUACAUACAAGACUAAAACCACUUGUGCAAGACCAAAUUAAAAUUUUCAAUGUAUAAACACUAUAAUACCCUUAUUUGUUAAAAAAAAUAGAAAAUUUCAAAUGUGCAAGACCAAAAAUUCAAAAACACAAAAAAACCCUAUCACAAGACCACAAAACCACAAGACCAACUUUCAUCUUCUCCAUCUUCCAAAAACCACAAGACCUUUCUCAUUCCUCCUCCAUAAACCCACAAAACCUAAACAUUCAAAAUCAUCAAAACUCAACAAAUUUUACAAAGAUGGCAAGUAUGGAGUUAGAAGACAUCAAAAUAGAAGAUUCUACGGUGAAAGAACCCAAUAAGGUAUGCAUUUAUGGAUUUUUUAGCUAGAAUAUCGUUUUUCCAAAAAAAAUCCCGCACAAACGAAUUCGACAUGUACAGGUCGAAUUUUAUGGGUAAAAAUCGACAUUUAGAUGUCGAUUUUGAGGUAUCAAAUUCGACAUUUGGCAAUGUCGAAUUUGUGCUAUAAAUUCGACAUGUCAGUGUUGAUUUCUGCCUAUAAAAUUCGACGCGUAAGUGUCGAUUUGUAACAUAGUUUUUCGACACCUUGGUGUCGAUUUUUACCAGUUUCAAAUUUAAUUUGUUUUUCCUCUUUUUUUGUAAGGUUUUACUGUCAAAUUUUUACCAGUUUCAUGAUUGUGAGCGGCGGGGCUGGCGGCGACGGCGAUCAGUGGUGGAGCUUGAGAGGUGGAGCUUUGACGACGGAGAAGGUGGGCGUAGGUGGGCAUAGGUAGGGUUUGGGGGGAUGGUUUAAUUCACGCAUCUAUGUUUUUUUUUCCUCAUUAUUUGUAUUUGAUCUUGCAUGAGAAAAAAACCAAUUUAAUUUAUGAGUAUAUUUGUCAUUUCAUCUUAAUAAAAUAGAAUCUUUUGGAAUCUUUAAUUUGGUCUGGCACAAGUGAAAUUAGUAUUGCAUAUAGUCGCAGCCUUUCAGAAAAUCCACCUCCCUAGCUGAAGCAGUUCUGCAAAUUGCAUAAUCACCCUAUACUUACUCAAUCUUCCUAACCGCUCCACCCAAAUUGCAAAUUUGACCUCAAAGUGGAUCUCUCUUUCAAUAUCCAAAAUAUCCGCCACAUUUAUGAAAAUUCGCAAUACCGAGCAUAAAAUCGUAUGAUUUACGAUUCAAAUCUUACGAUUCAAUUCAUUCAUAUCUAUGUUGAUUCAAAUGUUAAAAUAAAUCUUUAAUAUCAACAAAUCGAUCAAAUUUUACGAUUUUUGGUCACUAUAUUAUUAUACCUCUUUUUAAUUUUGGUCCUUAAACCAGAAAUGCACCCCAAGUGGAGGUCAAUUUGUAAUUUUUUGAAAUCCACCUCCCUGGCCGAAACAAUUUUGAGAACUACAGAAUCACCCCUAUACUUACUCCAUCUUCCUAGCCGCUCCACCCAAAUUGCAUAUUUAACCCCAAAGUGGAUCUCUCUUGCAAUAUCUUAAAUAUCCGCCACCAACGCAGUAUGCUUCAAGUCCUCCUCAACUAUAAUCGCGUGUGACUCAUUUACGAAAAUUCGCAUUACCGAGUUUAGAAUCUUAUGAUUUACGAUUCAAAUCUUACGAUUCAAUCCGUUUAUACCUAAGUCGAUUCAAAAGUUAAAAUAAAUCUUAAAUAGCAACAAGACGAUCAAAUUGUACAAUUUCGAUUUAUGAAAAAAAUAAUUUAUUAUGUUAUUUAUAAUAAACUUGUGAUAAUUACAUUUUUGUCCCUAUAUUAUAUACCAUUUUUAAUUUUGGUCCUUAAACCGGAAAUCCCCCAAGUGGAGGUCAAUUUGUAAUUUCAAAAAAUCCACCUCCCUGGCUCAAACAGUUCUGAAAAUUGCAGAAUAACCCUUAUACUUACUCCAUCUUCCUAUCCGCUCCACCCAAAUUGCAAUUUUGACCCCAAAGUGGAUCUCUCUUUCAAUAUCCGCCACAUUUACGAAAAUUCGCAAUAACGAGUAUACAAUCUUAUGAUUUACGAUUCAAAUCUUACGAUUCAAUUCAUUCUUAUCUAUGUCAAUUCAAAUGUUAAAAUAAAUCUUAAAUAUCAACAAAUCGAUCAAUUUUUACGAUUUUUGGUCCCUAUAUUAUAUACCUAUUUCGCAUCGCACGCGCCGUCAUUCAGAUAGCCUUUAACGGAAGGAAGAAAAAUUAACUCCUGAUUAAUUAGCUUUCGUUAACACAGAAACGAGUUUAUAUUUUGACAAUCAUUUGUGCACCAGCAAAUUCCCUUGUUUCUAAGGGAGUGGACCCCACAACACCCUCCGUAGACAACUUCAAAUCGUCACUUCCCAUCGCCACAUUCGACACAAAUUUUGCCUAAUCGUAAAAAAAAUAAAACAAAAUGCAGCCUAAAAAAUACAUAAUACGAUAAGUUCUUAGGCACCGGCACCGCGCAUUGCGCGGUGCUCUACACUAGUAUAUAUAUAUAUAUAUAUAUAUAUAUAUAUAUAUAUAUAUAUAUAUAUAUUUGGACAUAUUAUUAUUUUUUAAUUUUCUAAAACUUACAAAAGUCAAAACUCAAAAUUUAUUAGAAUUACUUAGAAACCCUUCUUUCUCCGACUCUCUCUCUAGCAGCAGUCAUCGACCUUUCUUUCUCCCCACCACCAGCAGCGCCUUCUCCGACGACCACGACCACCAGUGCCUCCCGAUUCUCCGCCGACCACUACCAGUAGUGAAUCUCGGCUCUCCGACGACCACCACCUCCACCAGCGCCUCCCAAUUCUCCGACGACCACCACAACUUGCGCCUCCCGAUUCUCCAACCACCACCAUCGCCACCAGGCAUCCCGGCUCUCUGAAGACCACCACCACCAGCGCCUCCCGGCUCUCCGACGACCACCACCAACGUAUUUGUGUGAGUCUCUUGUAUUUGUGAAGAUUACUUGUUUGAUGUUUCUUUUUGCAAUUUGGCUACUGUGUGGUGAUCAAUUUUUCCCUUUUUUUUUUUUGGAAAA
Molecule: long non-coding RNA, 24983 nt
Filed under: Erythranthe guttata (spotted monkey flower)
Lineage: Eukaryota; Viridiplantae; Streptophyta; Magnoliopsida; Lamiales; Phrymaceae
Description: long non-coding RNA (EGUT_LNC001020)
Source: RNAcentral